UACAGAGGGUGCAAGCGUUGUCCGGAAUUACUGGGCGUAAAGGGCGCGUAGGCGGCUUGAUAAGUAGGAGGUGAAAUCUCACGGCUCAACCGUGAAACUGCCUUCUAAACUGUCAGGCUUGAGCACGGUAGAGGCAGAUGGAAUUCCCGGUGUAGCGGUGGAAUGCGUAGAGAUCGGGAAGAACACCAGUGGCGAAGGCGGUCUGCUGGGCCGUUGCUGACGCUGAUGCGCGACA
RNAcentral lists this ribosomal RNA (235 nucleotides) under uncultured prokaryote. RNAcentral's name for it is "partial 16S ribosomal RNA". It matches the Rfam family "Bacterial small subunit ribosomal RNA", at positions 524 to 758 of the family's 1533-position model. The record is from RNAcentral.